This is a non-coding RNA of Pelobates cultripes (western spadefoot toad), 302 nucleotides long. The record is from the annotation of a GenBank genome assembly. Lineage: Eukaryota; Metazoa; Chordata; Amphibia; Anura; Pelobatidae.
AUGCAGGCUUAAAGUGCAGAAUUCUGCAAACCACAUGACAGGAUGUGUACCAACACAACUGACUUUAAAAGUAUUAUAGUGUGCCAUAUGGCCCCUGGCGCCAUCCACGGCUAUGUGUUUACACUAUUUCAAAAAUUUACACAAACCUAGAGUCAAGCGGGCUUCCACAGCCAGCUCCUCUUAGUCCAUAUUGAUAAUGCAUAAGUUCCAAUAAUUAUGUCUUCGUUUGGACGGUAUUCAUUGGCUGGGCAUGUCAGCUAACUAUCGUAGCCAAUGAAUACUGUCUAAAUACAGACAAUAGA